AUUAAAAACAAUAGAGGACAGGUAUUAUAGAGACUUUGUUUAAUGCUUAUCAAAAAUCACUGACAUGCACGAGUAUUAAAUUUGCUUUUAUUUUUUUUUUUUCAAAUUUUUUUCUAUGUUUAUUUCUUUUUAAAGAUUAUAAACUUUAUUUGUCUUGACAUUAAACUUUGACCCGCGACAAGUAGAAAGCGCGCGUUUCUUGUCUCGCAUAAAUUUCUUGUCUUUCGGCGAGUGACCUUCCACAGUUGGGUCCAUUGAUUUUGCAUAAACACGUCUGAAGCGAGAGAGCGCGCGAAACAUAGAGAGAGAGAGAGAGAACGGAGUGGGAGCGAACGCGGCUGCUGCUGCUGCUCUCUUAACACACACACAUACACGCGCACAAAAUGCAACUCAUUCAUGAAUGGCGGCGUCGGUGGUUUUUUUCUUCUUUUUUUCCAUCUUCUUCCGCUAUUCACACCUUCGCCCAGUCGCCAACAUGCACUUGUCGCAUUAGUGUUAAAAAGCGCCAGGAACUAAGGAGGAGUAGCCGAUUGAGAGUCGCAGCGCCGUCGCGUGUCUCGUGCGCCCACAAAAAGCUUUGAACAGCAGCCGGAGCAGGCCGACUAAAUUAAAAUAAAAAAAACUAAAGUGCGCAACAAAGCGGAAUGCGAAAAAAUAUAAAAUAUCAGCGGCGCUGGCAGGUGCCGGCAGAGGGUUGCCAGCAAGCAGGAAAAAAAAAAAAACCAACGAAAUAACAAUUAGAGAAA
RNAcentral lists this small RNA (746 nucleotides) under Drosophila virilis. RNAcentral's name for it is "GJ26092". The record is from RNAcentral. Lineage: Eukaryota; Metazoa; Arthropoda; Insecta; Diptera; Drosophilidae.